Diorhabda sublineata is the source of this 2782-nucleotide long non-coding RNA. RefSeq lists it as uncharacterized. Lineage: Eukaryota; Metazoa; Arthropoda; Insecta; Coleoptera; Chrysomelidae. The transcript has 2 exons. The record is from RefSeq and is a predicted model, not a curated record.
AAGGCUUUCUGUCUGUCUUCCUGUCGUAGAGUACUUCAAAAAAAAUGUCUUCCCUCGUCACAAUACUUCAAUUGUAAUCUAUAAGUUCAUUAUUUUCGCAUACUUUCGGAUAAUUGGCAAAAAAAGAAAAUCUGCAAUUUAUGAAAACAAUACACCAAAAAUAAUUUAAUCUAUAAGUUGAUGAUUAGGAAAGUUGGUUGAGAUAAAAAUUCAAUUAUAAUAUAGAAGCUUGUACUUUAACCUAGAAAAAAAUAAUUUUUUUAACCAAACGAUAAUUUUAACGUGGUUGAAUUACCAGUGUUUCUACAAAUGUAAAAAAAGCGUAUUUAAACGAUACAUUAUAUCAAAUAAUUGCUAAUAUUUAAUAAGAAGAAAAGAAUAAAACACUUUUUUGAAUUAUAUUUUGCCCUGUAGGUAAAUAAAUACGAAAAUAUUUCAAUACAAAUGUAAUAAAAUGAAAUUCAUUUUAAAAUAGACAAUCUUGUUUAUACAGAUUGUCCCAUAAGAUCGUUCUCGAAAUUUUCACAUAUCUGUUUGACAUUUCCAACGUCAACUGUCAGUUAUAGGUCGAAUUUAUAAUUUUGAGUCAUUACUUGAAUAUAUUCAAUAUUUAUGAUGUUUCUUAACACUUUUUAUUAACCUAUAAAAGUUUAGACUUCCUAUAAUAAUAUUUUAAGACUGAAAAUCUAAUAUACCUGAAUGUUAAAUAAACUAGGUAGUAUAUUUUCUUCUAAUAUAAUUAUAACGUAUUUAUUCUUUUCUUUUUACCUCAAAAUAAUUGAAAAUUGAUAAAUCAAGUAACAAAUACCCCAAAGAAACAAAUAAAUGCUUGUUUAUAGUUGUUUUGUUCUAAAAUUUCGUUCAUCUUCACCGUAAAAAAUUGCUUAUCUGAUAUUAUUUAUAAAUAAAAGUUCUAAUAAAUAAUUUGUUAAUAUAUGUCUAGCAGGUAUAUUUUUUCCAUUUUGAGAACUUGAUUAUCAAUUAUCAGAAAUGUAUCCAAUAUUAAUAAAAAUGAAUUUAUUUCGAAUAAAUGUGACAACAGCGUAAUGAUAAAUUAAUCAAAAUAAUUAUUGGCAUUAUUGAAUACAAUAAACAAUUACUUACUAUAGGUUAUGUUACUUGGUUCAAAUUUCACAAGUUCUCAAAAUUUAUAAUAAGAGACACAGUAUAUACACUAUUUUCACGAAAAAUUGAUUUUUUUAAUAAAGUUUUAUCACAAAUCACCGCCAUAAUGUAGCAAACAGACACUAGAAACUCGAAUCUACUACUAAAAACACUUUAACCUAGAAAAAUAUUGUUGACAUUUGCAAUGUUUAUUGUUCUUUAAGGUGCAUUUUCAUGUUGACGCUCGACGCUGGCUUAGUGCGUCAAAUUAGGUCACGUGAUAUAAUUUCGACUGAAGCGUCAUCUAAAUCAAUUCAACGUCAAAUAUAAGAGCGUCAAGCUUCAUAACGCUGAAAAAAAUACUAAAAUACACCACUUCUCAACAGUCUGUUAACCUAUAAACAUAAAAUGUGUGUAAUUUAUUCAAUCAUUUCUAAAUGAGUGAAUUAUUCUGAUCGAUGUACUUUACGUAACACUAGUAAACAGCUGAUGAUAUAAAUUUAUAAAGUUUUUUGCUAUAAUGUCCGAUUUAAAGAUGUAAACAAUGUUUAGUUUUGACGCAGCACUAAUUUAAGAUGACGUUUCAGUUAAAAUUGUACCACGUGAUAUCAUUUGACGCUCUAAACCAGUCGAGUGUCAAAAUGAUAUUGUAACUUUACUAAAUAAUAUUGUUUAAAUAAAAUUCCUACUGUACAUAAUUACUAUUAACGUCACAGUUUACUAGUAAGACUAAUUGCAAGACUUUUAUACUUCUAAACAAAAAUGUAACUUCUCAAAAUGUAUCUAGUGAAUUUUUUUGGCGUACUUUCAAGUUAUAUAUUUCUAUUCUUUAAAUAUAGUCAAAACAAACUAUAUAAACUCGGAAAAAGUAGAUUCUAGUUUUGAAAAGUUUACUAUCAUUAACAAUUUUCAAUUCCUGGUGCCUUAUUUCUACCGGGAUCAUCUGACUGGCAAGCGUAGUUAAAAUGUAAAACUUACUUUAAUAUACGUCACAGAUUCUAGAUUAAUACAUUAUAUUCACGUUCACUAUAACACCCCGUAUAUUAAAAUUCACAACGAAUAAUUAAUAAUAUACAAUUGAAUCAACAACUAAAUAGACACUAUAACUGAAUAAUGUUUAGUUUUGGUUGUUUCCCGGUAAAAUGUCAUUUAUCGUUAUGAAAUUCGUAUAAUACUAACAGUGUUGCCGAUGUCAACACGUUUUAUCAGUAGGUGCUUCACCUUGAAUUGAAAAUUGUUUUAUUUCGUAUAACGUUUGUAGAUGCUGAAUGUAUAUAAUUUAGACGCUAAGCUGUAUUCCGGCAACGUCAGAACUUGUUAUCCAACUUUUUGAUUAUUUUUCACAUCUAUAGUUAUUGCUUUUUUUCAAUAUUUUUUCUAAUCGUAUCCUUGUAUAUCAGAUAUGAAUUUGGAUUGUUUUAAAUAAGGGUAACAUGUUCAAAUAGACAAAAAAAAAUCAACUUCCAAGCUAUAAUGUUAGUUAAAAUAUUGGUUCGUAGGAAAGGAUGUUUAUAAAUGUAAAUAUGAACGCAUUAAUUCAAUAUUGAAAAUACCCCUCGACCCCAUACAAUUUAUUAGUUGUUGACGAUUUUAGAAAUAUAAUAAUUUUUGUUGUAAAACUUUUUUAAUUUGAUAAAAUUGUGAAAUUUCAAUUAAUAAAACAUGUGGCACUACUGUA